This is a long non-coding RNA of Thunnus maccoyii (southern bluefin tuna), 459 nucleotides long. RefSeq lists it as uncharacterized. NCBI's taxonomy places the organism in Eukaryota, Metazoa, Chordata, Actinopteri, Scombriformes, Scombridae. The transcript is spliced from 3 exons. The record is from RefSeq and is a predicted model, not a curated record.
GGUGCAGGUGUGCAGGCAGGUAAUUAGUUAGCGGGGAGAACUCAGUGGGAACAACUGGUGGACAGGUGCAGAAUGGCAGGUCUGGAAUAACAGGCAGAUGUGGUGAUGAUACAGCAUACAGGUACAGCAACAAAAGGCAGGAAGAUGAGGAUUGAUGACUGUGACGGCGUGGCAGGAGAUAAACACACGCAGGCACAAUUAAUGGAAGAUUUUCCAGAUCCUGAUCUGCAGCAGGCUCACCGUCUCCGCUGCAGGCACCUAUCUAUCCAGGGAGGAAGGGACAAAAUGUCUAGACUGCACAGAUCACUUGCUGACCUGUUCAUUAGUUUACAUCAUAUAUGUCAGUUUCAUACAUGUGUCAUUGUUGGCCUGUACAAAUCUAUUUUCAGAAAUUGUCCUGGACAUGGUGGUAAUUUUAUCAAUAAAUCUACAGCACAGACACCUGUUUCUUUUUUGUGA